Molecule: ribosomal RNA, 497 nt
Filed under: uncultured bacterium
Lineage: Bacteria
Description: partial 16S ribosomal RNA
Rfam family: Bacterial small subunit ribosomal RNA
Source: RNAcentral
GAUGAACGCUGGCGGCGUGCCUAAUACAUGCAAGUCGAGCGAACGGACGAGAAGCUUGCUUCUCUGAUGUUAGCGGCGGACGGGUGAGUAACACGUGGAUAACCUACCUAUAAGACUGGGAUAACUUCGGGAAACCGUAGCUAAUACCGGAUAAUAUUUUGAACCGCAUGGUUCAAAAGUGGAAGACGGUCUUGCUGUCACUUAUAGAUGGAUCCGCGCUGCAUUAGCUAGUUGGUAAGGUAACGGCUUACCAAGGCAACGAUGCAUAGCCGACCUGAGAGGGUGAUCGGCCACACUGGAACUGAGACACGGUCCAGACUCCUACGGGAGGCAGCAGUAGGGAAUCUUCCGCAAUGGGCGAAAGCCUGACGGAGCAACGCCGCGUGAGUGAUGAAGGUCUUCGGAUCGUAAAACUCUGUUAUUAGGGAAGAACAUAUGUGUAAGUAACUGUGCACAUCUUGACGGUACCUAAUCAGAAAGCCACGGCCAACUACGUG